Molecule: ribosomal RNA, 292 nt
Filed under: uncultured bacterium
Lineage: Bacteria
Description: partial 16S ribosomal RNA
Source: RNAcentral
GGACUACCAGGGUAUCUAAUCCUUUUUGCUCCCCACGCUUUCGUGUCUCAGGGUCAGGAAAGCCCCAGUGAACUGCCUUCGCCUUUGGUGUUCCGCACGAUAUCAACGGAUAUCACCCCUACACCGUGCGUUCCGUUCACCUCUAACCUCCUCUAGCUUCGCCGUAUCCCGGGCAGGCUCACCGUUAGGCAGUGAGAUUUCACCCGAGACGCACAAAGCCCCCUACACACGCUUUACGCCCAAUAAAUCCGGAUAACGCUUGAGGUCUACGUUUUACCGCGGCUGCUGGCAC